RNAcentral lists this ribosomal RNA (287 nucleotides) under uncultured Actinomyces sp. Its description in RNAcentral is "partial 16S ribosomal RNA". It matches the Rfam family "Bacterial small subunit ribosomal RNA", at positions 56 to 339 of the family's 1533-position model. Lineage: Bacteria; Bacillati; Actinomycetota; Actinomycetes; Actinomycetales; Actinomycetaceae. The record is from RNAcentral.
UGCAAGUCGAACGCUGAAGGCUCAGCUUGCUGGGCUGGAUGAGUGGCGAACGGGUGAGUAACACGUGAGUAACCUGCCCUCUUCUUUGGGAUAACGGUCGGAAACGGCUGCUAAUACCGGGUAUUCACUGUCCUUCGCAUGGGGGUGGUGGAAAGGUUUUUUCUGGUGGGGGAUGGGCUCGCGGCCUAUCAGCUUGUUGGUGGGGUGAUGGCUUACCAAGGCUUUGACGGGUAACCGGCCUGAGAGGGUGACCGGUCACAUUGGGACUGAGAUACGGCCCAGACUCC